Molecule: ribosomal RNA, 255 nt
Filed under: uncultured bacterium
Lineage: Bacteria
Description: partial 16S ribosomal RNA
Rfam family: Bacterial small subunit ribosomal RNA
Source: RNAcentral
UACGUAGGGUCCGAGCGUUGUCCGGAAUUAUUGGGCGUAAAGGGCUCGUAGGCGGUUUGUCGCGUCGGGAGUGAAAACUCAGGGCUCAACCCUGAGCGUGCUUCCGAUACGGGCAAACUAGAGGUAUGCAGGGGAGAAUGGAAUUCCUGGUGUAGCGGUGGAAUGCGCAGAUAUCAGGAGGAACACCGGUGGCGAAGGCGGUUCUCUGGGCAUUACCUGACGCUGGAGGAGCGAAAGCCAUGGGGAGCGAACAGG